GAGUUUGAUCGUGGCUCAGGACGAACGCUGGCGGCGUGCUUAACACAUGCAAGUGGAGCGACGAACCAGGGCUUGCCCUGGGGCAGAGCCGCGAACGGGGUGAGUAACACGUGGGUAACCUACCCCGAUGACCGGGACAACCCGAGGAAACUCGGGCUAAUACCGGAUGAACUCUUCUCACAUGAGUGAGAUUUGAAAAGGAAGCUUCGGCCUCCGCAUUGGGAUGGGCCCGCGGCCCAUUAGCUUGUUGGUGGGGUAACGGCCUACCAAGGCUUCGAUGGGUAGCUGGUCUGAGAGGACGAUCAGCCACACUGGGACUGAGACACGGCCCAGACUCCUACGGGAGGCAGCAGUGGGGAAUCUUGCGCAAUGCGCGAAAGCGUGACGCAGCAACGCCGCGUGCGGGAAGACGGCCUCGGUUGUAA
This 425-nucleotide ribosomal RNA is filed under the name uncultured bacterium. Its description in RNAcentral is "bacterial SSU rRNA". It matches the Rfam family "Bacterial small subunit ribosomal RNA", at positions 9 to 428 of the family's 1533-position model. The record is from RNAcentral.